UUUCUAACGUGGAUGCCAUUUCAAACGUCCUUGAAGAUGAUUUAUUACUAUUAACGAAAAGUUUUCA
Molecule: long non-coding RNA, 67 nt
Organism: Bradysia coprophila
Lineage: Eukaryota; Metazoa; Arthropoda; Insecta; Diptera; Sciaridae
Source: RefSeq, a predicted model, not a curated record